RNAcentral lists this unclassified non-coding RNA (1567 nucleotides) under Hevea brasiliensis (rubber tree). Lineage: Eukaryota; Viridiplantae; Streptophyta; Magnoliopsida; Malpighiales; Euphorbiaceae. The record is from RNAcentral.
GUUAACAUUCACCGUAUACAUCAAAUGUUAAGCAGGGAAAAGAAACAGUACCAGUUUUAAUCCACCAGCGGGGAUAAUUACCAUGCAUAUUGGGAAGGUUUAAACCCCAAACCCCUCCAAAUUUGGCAGGAUGAUCUUCAUUUCUUAGCCAAACAAUAUACCAACACCUGAUUGGUGAUUGCUGAUUGUUGUAGCCAUCCCUGAAUUUUUGCAGGGCCUGUCUUAUUUAUGGAUAGGACAGACCUGCUCCUCCCUAAAUAAAGAUGUUCCAAUAACUAUUUCAGUUAAUUUAAUGAAACAUCACAUUCCAGUUAACAGCAACGCUUCUCAGAGUACGAAGUGCCUAACUUGCAAGAAUGUGUCGAGCAACAUCAUUUCCGGUUUCCUGUCCAAUCAUAUACAAAUAGACAGGGAAACAACAACAUAUUUCCUAUUCCCAAACAAUAAGGAGUAUUCCUCUUCAAUUAUACAGUUGUACAGCCAACCAUUUGACGGAGUUCUGCUGCAACAACAGCUACCUAUCCUUCUGGCAAGCAGAUCAAUAGGAAAUAAUAUUACCUCAGUUUGUGACUGGCAGCUAUAGAAUUUUCCUUUCUCUUACUAUAUUAGUUAACUCAGUACUUAAUGGACCGCCACUACCAGUAAAAAAGCUCAAGCAUUUGUCUCAGCUGGAGGCUUGACAAGUCCAAACCUACUUCCUCUGCUUCUGCUUUGAAUUUUGACUAUAACAACCUAAACUGAAAGCACAUUUACAUUCAUCUAAUCCAGGGGAAUUGCUGGAUUAGAACUUGCACAAGCCACAAGCAUAAGAUUAAUCCACGAUUUAAUUCCUCAUAAAUGAACAGAUCAUAGAACUCCACAAGAAAUUUAAAAAGAAAGAAUAAACACAGUCGAAGCGUAAAUUUGUCAUCUUUUUCUGUAUUUUUCAUAGUCUAAAUAGCAUCAGUAAAUAUUAGAUCCAACAAAAGAAUAUCAAACAAAAAAAAAUCCAAAUGGGAAAUCAAAGCCCAAGAAUAAUACAGAUUCAAUAAGAAAAAUCCUUCAAUUCCUGUAAAAGAGCCUCCUCUACCAAAAACCGGGACUCCUCCAUCAACUCAGGGCUCAAUCUAAACAUAAGAACACAGAACUCCAUCUGAUUGAGUGCGCCAUCACCAUCAAAAUCACCUUCCUUUAACAUACACCUCAAAUCAUCAUCACUCAAGUCUUGCAAACCCAAUAGAGCAGAAUUUCUUUUCAGACUGUCGAAAGUGAUCACACCCUUUUCACUAUCCAUCAGAAGAUUGAACCCAUUGCAUAGCUCCCCGAUUAGGCCAUCGCCGCCAAGCUUGUGGGCCAUAAGAGGCAGGUAGUCAUGGAAGUUGGGGGAUGGGUUUUGGUUUUGUGAGGACGCCAUCUAUGAAGUUGGAGAUAAUAUGAAAAUGGAGAAAAAUAGAGAUAUAAUUGGAGAAUUGAGAUGUGGGUUUUGCUGAGGAUGAGAAAUGAAUGGAUGGGUGCGUCUAUAAAUAGGUGGGCAGAUGGUAUUUCCGAGAUGGAGAGGCCAUGGAAGACAACUAGGAUACAGGUAAGG